UGGAGGACUACCAGCUUAAGAUCAAUCUGGCGCUUGCGUUCGUGGUCAAUAAUCUCCUUGGUGUCGCCGCAAGGUUCGAUUCUCUCUGUCACGGCGGCGGCGCAAAGAACUUGUUGCCCUGACUGUGGUCGGUGGUCACCAAUCCCCAUGGGGUUUGUAAUCUGAUUCCAUUACAUUUAGCUGAGAAAAUUCAACAGAAAAGAAAGCCCCAAUUUGAUUGAAGUUUGAUCAGUGACAACUGAAAAUCAAAAACCUAAAUAUCUAUUUUAUAGUGAAUUCAAAAAGGCAUCGAUCAAUCUAUAUAUAUAUAUAUAUAUAUAUAUAUAUAUAUAUAUAUAUAUAUAUAUAUAUAUAUACACACACACACACGGGCGGACGGGCUGGUGAACUGGUUUGGGGUGGGUGGAAAUGAAAAUUUUAAAUAAACUUUUAGAGUAAUUAAAAAGGAUUUAUUACCAACUAAAUUUAUUAUUUGAUAUUUCAGAUAAAUAGUAGUAAUUGCUUAUUUUUUAACAUGAAGAAUAAUUAAUAAUUGCUUCCCAUUACAAUAAAAAAAAGGCCUAAAUAUGGAUUAAUACCCUAAACUUUUACUUUUUUCACUUUGGGGAUUGUCUUUUCUCAAUUUUUUCAAUUAAGAGAUUAAACUCUUAAUUUUUUUCCACUUUGGGAUUGUCUUCCCAAUUUUUUCAAUUAGGGGAUUAAUCUUUUAAUUUUUUUUUCUUAUUAUGUCUAAUUGAUAGUACCACAUCAGAAAUUGGUGACAUGGAAGCGACACGUGACUAAAAAAUGCUUAUGUACAUGUAAUAUUUCCCACGGAAAAUUCCGUUGAAAAUAACUUUUAUUUUAAAUUAUUUUUUUUCAUGUUUUCAUAUGGCCAAAUGUAGUCAUCAAAUGUACUAACAAGCAUCAAAGAGAACCUAAGUUAGAGCAAUCAAGUCUCUUAAGACUAUAACAUGUGCUUUGGCUUUAUGAAUUGCUCUAUGACAAUAUCAUGCCGCUUUUACUACACAUAAAAGAGAUUGAAAGAUUGGACCAUACCUCAUGAAAUAUGGCAGAUAUGAGGAAGGCAAUUACAACGGCAAUUCCCUGUAUCAGCAGGUAACAACGGAUGAACACAACUUCAUAAACCCCAAACGCGGAACAAAACCAAGCUACUAACAAAGAAAGAAGUAAGAGGAAAUUCCUGUACACCCUGCUUGAAAUCUUAAAGGGAAGGUCUAUUACCUUAGGAUUACCAUUUCUUAAGCAUGGAAAAUAUAUAUGACGGACCAUC
This 1273-nucleotide long non-coding RNA is filed under the name Panax ginseng (ginseng). Its description in RNAcentral is "long non-coding RNA (PGIN_LNC015038)". Lineage: Eukaryota; Viridiplantae; Streptophyta; Magnoliopsida; Apiales; Araliaceae. The record is from RNAcentral.